GUAGGUGGCAAGCGUUGUCCGGAAUUAUUGGGCGUAAAGCGCGCGCAGGCGGUCCUUUAAGUCUGAUGUGAAAGCCCACGGGCUCAACCGUGGAGGGUCAUUGGAAACUGGGGGACUUGAGUACAGAAGAGGAAAGUGGAAUUCCACGUGUAGCGGUGAAAUGCGUAGAGAUGUGGAGGAACACCAGUGGCGAAGGCGACUUUCUGGUCUGUAACUGACGCUGAGGCGCGAAAGCGUGGGGAGCAAACAGGAUUAGAUACCCUGGUAGUCCACGCCGUAAACGAUGAGUGCUAAGUGUUAGAGGGUUUCCGCCCUUUAGUGCUGCAGCUAACGCAUUAAGCACUCCGCCUGGGGAGUACGGCCGCAAAGGCUG
Molecule: ribosomal RNA, 373 nt
Filed under: uncultured organism
Description: partial 16S ribosomal RNA
Rfam family: Bacterial small subunit ribosomal RNA
Source: RNAcentral